Molecule: ribosomal RNA, 253 nt
Filed under: uncultured bacterium
Lineage: Bacteria
Description: partial 16S ribosomal RNA
Rfam family: Bacterial small subunit ribosomal RNA
Source: RNAcentral
UACGAAGGGGGCUAGCGUUGUUCGGAAUUACUGGGCGUAAAGCGCACGUAGGCGGAUUGUUAAGUCGGGGGUGAAAUCCUGAGGCUCAACCUCAGAACUGCCUUCGAUACUGGCGAUCUUGAGUUCGGAAGAGGUUGGUGGAACAGCUAGUGUAGAGGUGAAAUUCGUAGAUAUUAGCUAGAACACCAGUGGCGAAGGCGGCCAACUGGUCCGAUACUGACGCUGAGGUGCGAAAGCGUGGGGAGCAAACAGG